Rhineura floridana is the source of this 480-nucleotide long non-coding RNA. RefSeq lists it as uncharacterized. The record is from RefSeq and is a predicted model, not a curated record. The transcript is spliced from 3 exons. Lineage: Eukaryota; Metazoa; Chordata; Lepidosauria; Squamata; Rhineuridae.
CAUGUGCAGCCUGAGGCUAAAUACGGCUGCUGGUUCCUGGAAACAGACGUGCCUGGCACCUUUUCAGCAGAAACCCGAUCCCCAUGCGGGCUUGGCACAGCAAGCUGAAUAACAUGGCAAGAACUCUUUCAGUGGUGUUUCAGCCCAUAAAUAGGGCUCCCUGAGCAAACUCCUGGAAGUAUAGCACUACAUGUUACCAUAAGUGCAAGAGGAGGAGGUCUAUUUGCUUGAAAAUAUUGACUGAUCUGUAAAUGAUGAAAGCUCAAAUAUUGCUUACCUUAUCAUAGAAAAUGCAGACCGCAUCAUGAUUUUGAAAGACUCUAGAAGCUGGCAGAGGGGUUCCUGGCGGAGGAGCAGCUGGUGGGAAGCUCUGCGGCACCCAUUUGCCAUUCAGGAGUCGCCAGGCUGGCUAAAUGUCAGUUCAGCCAGGAGCUGCAUGCACAAAUGGAAAAGAAAAAGGCAGUUUUCACGAGUACCCCU